RNAcentral lists this ribosomal RNA (548 nucleotides) under uncultured Glomus. Its description in RNAcentral is "SSU rRNA". It matches the Rfam family "Eukaryotic small subunit ribosomal RNA", at positions 549 to 1098 of the family's 1831-position model. Lineage: Eukaryota; Fungi; Glomeromycota; Glomeromycetes; Glomerales; Glomeraceae. The record is from RNAcentral.
UGGAGGGCAAGUCUGGUGCCAGCAGCCGCGGUAAUUCCAGCUCCAAUAGCGUAUAUUAAAGUUGUUGCAGUUAAAAAGCUCGUAGUUGAAUUUCGGGGUUAGUAGGUUGGUCGUGCCUCAGGUAUAUACUGAUCUCACUGAUUCCUCCUUCCUGAUGAACCGUAAUGCCAUUAAUUUGGUGUUACGGGAAAUCUGGACUGUUACUUUGAAAAAAUUAGAGUGUUUAAAGCAGGCUAACGCUUGAAUACAUUAGCAUGGAAUAAUGAAAUAGGAUGUUCGAUCCUAUUUUGUUGGUUUCUAGGAUUGAUGUAAUGAUUAAUAGGGAUAGUUGGGGGCAUUAGUAUUCAAUUGUCAGAGGUGAAAUUCUUGGAUUUAUUGAAGACUAACUACUGCGAAAGCAUUUGCCAAGGAUGUUUUCAUUAAUCAAGAACGAAAGUUAGGGGAUCGAAGACGAUCAGAUACCGUCGUAGUCUUAACCAUAAACUAUGCUGACUAGGGAUCGGAUGAUGUUAAUUUUUUAAUGACUCAUUCGGCGCCUUACGGGAAAC